Long non-coding RNA from Suricata suricatta (meerkat), 363 nucleotides. RefSeq lists it as uncharacterized. The transcript has 2 exons. Lineage: Eukaryota; Metazoa; Chordata; Mammalia; Carnivora; Herpestidae. The record is from RefSeq and is a predicted model, not a curated record.
GGAAAAUGUCAAACAAACCAAAACCGAGAAACAUUCUACAACAUAUCUUCAAAAUAUUGGAGAAAUAAAAGAAAAAGAACAGGAAAAUAACAGAGCAGAGAGGACUAAGGAAAAAUGUCAAAUGAAUAUUAUGUUUUAUCCUGGUUGCAUCCUGGAACAUAAAUGAGACACUACUGGAAAGGACAUUCGUGGAAAAACUGAAAGAAAAAAAGAACCCACUUACAGAGAAAAACCCAGAACAAGCAUUUGACCAGCUACUUCAAGAUCUAUAAGUGCUCUGAAAAUGGUGUGAAGCAUUUGGUGGUAAACGUUACAGACUGAACUGUGAUAAGAAUCUUGAAAUAGAUCGAAAAGGGACAGACA